AUCGCAGAUAACCCUGUAAAAAGAGGAAUGGAGAUUGCCUCUAUCCACCUAGAUUCAUAAGCUGCCCUGAGGUGAUCUUGGCAUCAAGGAAGGGAUGCACAUCGCACCAUCAGCUUCAGAGAAUGGCAGUCAUUGAUUUGUCCCGUGGGUUUUUUUCCAGGGAACCAAUCUGCCCUUUUGAAGAAAAGACAAAGGUAGAAGGGAUGGUGGAGGACUACCUGGCAAAUGGCUAUCAAGAUUCAGUGACCUUUGAUGAUGUGGCUGCGGACUUCACCCCGGAGGAGUGGGCUUUACUGGACACAAUUGAGAAAUACCUUUACAGAGAUGUGAUGCUGGAGAACUACAUGAACCUGGCCUCCGUGGAGUGGGAAAUACAACCUAGAAUCAAACCGUCAUCACUUCAGCAGGGUUUUUUUGAAGAAUCCAAUAUUCAGUGGGAUACAAAUGACAAGAGGCUCCAGUGGAUGGAAAGUCUGUGACUGUAAGAAUUGUGGAGAGGUCUUCAGUGAACAGUUUUGCCUUAAGACACACAUGAGAGCUCAGAAUGGAGGGGACACUUCUGAGGGUAAUUGUUAUGGAAAAGACGUCCUUAGUGUGCACAAGGAAGCCUCUAUUGGACAGGAACUUUCCAAAUUUAAUCCAUGUGGAAAAGUCUUCACUCUAACUUCAGGCCUUGCUGUACAUCUUGAAGUUCUCAAUGCAAGACAACCCUACAAAUGUAAGGAAUGUGGAAAAGGCUUUAAGUAUUUUGCAAGCCUUGAUAAUGACAUAUGAAUCCACACUGAUGAGAAACUCUGUGAAUUUCAGGAAUGUGAGAGAGCCAUCACACCUUCCUCACACCUAAAGCAAUGUGUAGCAGUUCAUACAGGAAAGAAAUCCAAAAAGACUAAGAAAUAUGGGAAAUCUGUCACUGGUUUUUCUCAACUUUAUGCACAUGUGAAAACUCAUAAAGGAGAGAAGUCUUUUGAAUGCAAAGAAUGUGGAAGAUCCUUUAGAAAUUCCUCAUGCCUUAAUGAUCACAUUCAGAUUCACACUGGAAUAAAACCACACAAGUGUACAUACUGUGGGAAAGCCUUCACUAGAUCAACUCAACUUACUGAACAUGUAAGAACUCACACUGGAAUAAAACCCUAUGAAUGUAAGGAAUGUGGCCAAGCCUUCGCUCAGUCCUCGGGCCUUUCUAUACACGUACGAAGUCACAGUGGAAAGAAACCCUAUCAGUGUGAGGAAUGUGGGAAAGCCUUCACUACAUCCACAAGCCUUAUUCAACAUACAAGAAUUCACACAGGAGAGAAGCCUUAUGAAUGUGUUGAAUGUGGGAAGACCUUCAUUACUUCUUCCCGUCGUAGUAAACAUUUGAAAACUCACAGUGGAGAAAAGCCCUUUGUAUGCAAGAUAUGUGAGAAAGUAUUUCUGUAUUCCUCACGCCUUAAUGUUCACCUGCGAACUCAUACUGGGGAGAAACCCAUCAUAUGUAAAGAAUGUGGGAAAGCAUUUGCUGUUUCCUCACGCCUAAGCAGACAUGAAAAAAUUCACACUAGGGAGAAACCCUAUGAAUGUAAGGGUAUGAGUGUUAACAUUUAGCCCAUCAGUUGCCAUCUUUAAUUAUUGGCAAUGACACCAAAGAUUGUCAGAUUUGUCCUAAAUGCCUUGUGGAGGUUGUAAUGGCUCAUGGAUUGGCCUUAGAUGCCAUCCUGAAGGUCUGAAAUUAAACCUACAGUUUCUGAAUAAAA
Molecule: RNA transcript, 1733 nt
Organism: Piliocolobus tephrosceles (Ugandan red Colobus)
Lineage: Eukaryota; Metazoa; Chordata; Mammalia; Primates; Cercopithecidae
Gene name: zinc finger protein 561-like
Exons: 2
Source: RefSeq, a predicted model, not a curated record